Molecule: ribosomal RNA, 589 nt
Filed under: uncultured bacterium
Lineage: Bacteria
Description: partial 16S ribosomal RNA
Rfam family: Bacterial small subunit ribosomal RNA
Source: RNAcentral
UGGGGAAUUUUGGACAAUGGGCGAAAGCCUGAUCCAGCAAUGCCGCGUGUGUGAAGAAGGCCUUCGGGUUGUAAAGCACUUUUGUCCGGAAAGAAAUCCUUGGCUCUAAUACAGUCGGGGGAUGACGGUACCGGAAGAAUAAGCACCGGCUAACUACGUGCCAGCAGCCGCGGUAAUACGUAGGGUGCAAGCGUUAAUCGGAAUUACUGGGCGUAAAGCGUGCGCAGGCGGUUUGCUAAGACCGAUGUGAAAUCCCCGGGCUCAACCUGGGAACUGCAUUGGUGACUGGCAGGCUAGAGUAUGGCAGAGGGGGGUAGAAUUCCACGUGUAGCAGUGAAAUGCGUAGAGAUGUGGAGGAAUACCGAUGGCGAAGGCAGCCCCCUGGGGCCAAAUACUGACGCUCAUGCACGAAAAGCGUGGGGGAGCAAACAGGAUUAGAUACCCUGGUAGUCCACGCCCUAAACGAUGUCAACUAGUUGUUGGGGAUUCAUUUCCUUAGUAACGUAGCUAACGCGUGAAGUUGACCGCCUGGGGAGUACGGUCGCAAGAUUAAAACUCAAAUGAAUUGACGGGGUCAUAGCUGUUUCCU